RNAcentral lists this long non-coding RNA (203 nucleotides) under Elaeis guineensis (African oil palm). RNAcentral describes it as "long non-coding RNA (EGUI_LNC053426)". The record is from RNAcentral. Lineage: Eukaryota; Viridiplantae; Streptophyta; Magnoliopsida; Arecales; Arecaceae.
ACUAUUAAGAUUACAAAUAUAUUGUAUUAACAAAAAGCAAAAAAAUUAUAAAUCAAUUGAAAUAAUCAAAAAAUCUUUAAUCAAAUGGCAUACUCAUAAAUUAUCUUCUCAUGCAUGACACUCAUUUUAUCAUCCUCUGAUUUGCACGUCCCAAAAUUUCUCUCAUUUUGAUGUAAACACAGUGGACCGAGUAUUCAUGUGAU